Molecule: long non-coding RNA, 3062 nt
Filed under: Mus musculus (house mouse)
Lineage: Eukaryota; Metazoa; Chordata; Mammalia; Rodentia; Muridae
Description: predicted gene, 29724
Source: RNAcentral
AUUGGGCGGAUUUUCUGGCCGAUAGGCUCCCCUGGAAGAUCUGGGUGACGGCUUCAGGUCCGCUGGGACCAAGGCCAGUCCCCCUCUAAGGAUUAAUCGCCAAUGAGGGGGACCCUGUGGGUGCCUCCCAGCACGAAUCAGGGUGACAAACCAGGUUUCCUCUCCCUCCCGCGUCCAGAGGACUAGAGUUUGGUUCCCGGGACCCACAAGAUGGCCCAUAACCUCCUGUAUCUCCAGUUUCAGGGCAUCUGAGACCUCUUCUGGAUUCCUUGGGCACUGUACAUACAGCUCAGAAGACCAGGACAAGAGGAAUCUCUUCCUUUGAUAUCACCGUCCUCUCCCUAAAGUAAGAACAGUCUUGGGUGCCUGAGGACUGUUCCCAAGCUUGACAUCUUGCAGAGCCCAUGUAAAUCUGGAUGAGGGCUCUCCCCCUCUUGGGUCCCUUGUACCUAUCCUGGCAGGUAAUUACCGUUUGGUGGACAUUCCUCUGUGUUGCAUGAUUGGUACUUGACUCUUUCACCCAGGCAAAAUCUUCCUCCAUUCUGAGGCAUUGGAUUAUCACAUUCACGGUUCGAGAAUUGUAUCCCUCCACCACAGGUGCGAGAACAUUGUCCCCAGGGUCUCCAGGGACCCCAGUCUCCAUCUACCACAGCCUGUAACACACAAUGCCACCAAAUCAGGACCAAAGGGAAGCAGGUUUCAGUCCUCUAUGCCACCUGGCUGCUUGGGCCUGACUUCCUCAUCUGAAUGUAUGGAGUCCUGCAAAUUAUUUCGAUUGCUUGCUUAAUGAUGGCGUGCCUCGCUUGGAUGUGACUUCAUGAGCACAGAGGUAGCUUUGUUUGUUGUGAGUGCACAGAAUAUAUAAAGAGUACCUUACCCUACCCAAGUGCCCAACACAAUAGCUGCUGAAUGAGUAUGGGAGAGUCUUUUAUGGGUAAGUUUGCAUCUGGUGCAGUAGGUUUCCAUUGGUGCCCAUGGUGUCCACAAUGGGAGGAGUCUGGAGUCACUGUAGCUGCCUCACCCGGGGAAGACAUAUGCCCCUAGCAGUGGGUCAAGACAAUGAUUCUUCGAAAUAACCAACAGUGCAUAAUCCUCACAAAGCCUUUCCGUUGACAGCUCCAGCAAGGGUUCUAAAUGACUUUUCCCCCUAUUAUUAAAGAACAUUUUGCUCAUAUAAAAAUAAAAACCGAAGACUGUAAAAAUAAAUAUGGGAAGAAAGGAAAAGAAAGAAAGCAAGCUUUAAAAAUGUGCCACUGCACAGAAAGAAACCACUCCCAUAAUUGUCAUAGAAUCCUCCCAUUCUGCUCCAAAUAUCAUGUCCUACAGCAGUGAUGCAUUCAUUUGACAGAGGCAUGAUGCUGCAGACAAAGGGUAGUUUCUAGUCCUGCCCUUUUCACCUUAAGGAUAGACGGAUCCUAUGACUGUUUUCUGUCACCCUCAGAGUUCUGCCUCUGAGAUAGGUGGCUGGAACCUUCUUCUCUUUCAACACCAUGAGAAGAAUGAAUGGGGAGACCAGGAGAUGGCUGAGCUGGAAUCCAUGACACUGUACCAGCCCAGGCUCUGGGUGAGAAUGUGUGGCUUCCACAGCCCAGGGAGGCUCCCAAAUCAGCACCGAGAGCAUGCCACCGAGGACAGCCCUUGGAACGUGCUCGGGCCACCGUGGCGAUUCAGCACUGGGCAGGACCCAGGCUGUGAAACUCAUCGGAUGGUAUUUCAUCACGAAAGCCCCAUGACUUGCAGAAGGAGAAAUGUGAUCAGCCUUGCUGUUUGGAUGCAUUAAGAGCAGGGAGAAGAAGUGAACCACUUAAAACCCUCACUGGCAUUGCCUUGGGGUUUCUGCAAGUUUCCUCAGUACUGGGCCAAGGUUUCUCUUUCUGGACACAGGCCACUCGGAUCCCUUCUCCCCUCCUCUUGGAGUAGACAUUCUUACCAUUACACUUACUCUCUGAUUUCUACUAAGGAACUCAGCUCAAACAUGGCAGGCUGUGGAUACUCAGCCCUUAUGCAAUGUUGCUACUUCAUGUCUCUCUCUAUUUAUAGUGGGUUCCUCUGGGCUCUCACUUACUGAGUGCCCACCUUCUGGUCUUCACACCUUCACCAAUCAGCAUGAGAUCUCAAAACAGCUACAAAACAGAACCAAGGAGAGAUGCUGAACUUCGAGGAGCCAGGCAACAUCCCAUUGGCCAUGAGCAAGCCUCAAAGCUCCCCACUCAUGGGGGUAAUUACCAUUUGUUCUGUUGAAAGAGACUGACUUUUCUGUAAGUAACACUUCUGGCUUAGCCUGAAACAUCUUAGGUCCUGACUCUCAUGUGUAGAGCCUUUGUCUCCCCAUCCUGCUUCCCCCCACCUCCCUUUAUCUCCUCUCCAUUUUCCUCACCUUGGGAUUCUCCACAUCCUCCUUGAGUACACAGCUACCAUCCAGGCACAGGUGCCCAGGGCCACAGGGUGUACCAUCAGCCCAGAGCAGGCUACCAUUCUUUGUGUGGCAAAUGGGCUCAUCACUAUCCCGAUGACGGCACCAGAGCUGGACACAGAUGUCCUCCACAGAGGUGUUGGGGCAGUGUCGGAAAUCAGGCCCAAAGAUCUGCUUGCACUGCUGGUCCAGCUCGUAGAGGGUGCUGUGGCCCGGGAGGCCUGUGGGGAGGGGCAGAACCGAGGUGGGGGCAUCCAGAAGACAAUCUCCUGAGAAUAGAAGAAACAGAUGAGUUAGGACAAGGGCAAGGCUUUGCUCUCAGCUCAGUUUGGCCUCCUGCACUGAGCUCCUCCACUAAACUCCAAUUCUGAAUGAUACACUUUGGUGUUUAGGCAUCCCAGUUUUUUCAUCCCUGAUCUAAAUAUCACCAACAUCCAACCAGGAACACAGAGCUUGUUCAAUUCUGGGCAACUGUAGCAAAUGUUUCUGUAGGAUGAGUUUUCCUUUGCUGUCCAGCAUGUGUUGGAUAUAUUUCCUGUGACAUUCAGCAUGAGUCUCGUGACUGCCAGCCUCUUGCACUAUAAAACCACAUUCCACGUAAAGUUUAAGAACCCUGACAUGCAAAGUAAACCUGAGUAUUGACAUCUGU